UGAAACCGUUUAGGGGUAAACCUGAGAAACCCGAAAGGUCGAAGGGAGAAAUUCAUUCGCGUUUCGUAGUUAGUGACUGACAGGAUUUGUGUGACGGAAAUUGUUUCGGUAAUUUUCGCACCGCUUGUUUGUCGUUCUGAUUGCGAACGUGUGCACUUUUUUCCCGGUAGGACGUCGCGAUCCGUUGGGUGUCGGUCUACGGUACGUGGUGGAGACCGUUUGUCCACUGGUCGAACGGACCCACGUUAUUUCCUGGCCGGCUCACUCGACGGUAUAAAAUUAUGGUUUGAGGCCGCUUAUUUUAAUUAAGCGUUCGACGCAUAGCAAGCACGUUAGGAUGCCGGUUCGAUAAUCGGACUAGUGCCGAUUUCGACCACUAACGACUGUUGGCUGUGUUGUUCUCGGACAGACCUCGUGACCGAUCGGCGACGCUAUAGCUUUGGGUAAUUUCAGGACCCGUCUUGAAACACGGACCAAGGAGUCUAGCAUGUGCGCAAGUCAUUGGGAAACAUUAAACCUAAAGGCGCAAUGAAAGUAAAGAUCUUCCUUGCGAAGAUCGAGGGAAGACGAGCGGUUUUUGCCCUUUAAAAAGGUGGGGCCGCUUUGCAUUCCCGGGGCGUCUCAUUCUCAUUGCGAGAAGAGGCGCACCAUGAGCGUACACGCUGGGACCCGAAAGAUGGUGAACUAUGCCUGGUCAGGAUGAA
RNAcentral lists this ribosomal RNA (704 nucleotides) under Carphoborus bifurcus. RNAcentral describes it as "partial large subunit ribosomal RNA". It matches the Rfam family "Eukaryotic large subunit ribosomal RNA", at positions 400 to 850 of the family's 3401-position model. Lineage: Eukaryota; Metazoa; Arthropoda; Insecta; Coleoptera; Curculionidae. The record is from RNAcentral.